UUCCCAGAGGUGGGCUCCUCAGCCGGUGUGAACCCGCCUACCAUCUGGCCUUCCCCCCAGAUUUCUAAUCCUGGUCAAAGGAGUACAGGUUGUGGGAUCCUGGGGACCUCUCAGAAGCAGCCCCCUCACUGCCACAGGGGCGGUUGAGGGGGAUUGGGAGUACUCCGGAUGGGAAACACUGCCCGCUUUUCUUGCUUCCAUUGUAAGCGGCAUCCAGAACCAUCUGCCUCUCCCCUUAGUGGUUUUCAGGGCUGCUGGUUAGGAGGCAGCUUUGUGGAAACCAGGCUUCAUGAGGCUGGGACAUCACAGAAGCCACCCAGCAUGGCGUUGACUCAAACUCUGGAGGUAAUGGAGAGAGCGCAUCAGGAUCAGAAACAGCCAUGUGGACGCGCUUCCCCGUACAGCCUGCACCCAUGGGACCUGCGGUGGGCCCUUCCCUUUAGAUGUUUAGCUUCUGUAGAAGAUUCAGGAAGCCUGUGCUCCUGGGGUGGGGAAAGGAAGGGAUUGGAUUGUCCCUGGCUCUGAACAUAGAAGACACUUGUCUUGGUAGAAACUGGUGAUUUGGGAGGAAGCCUUAAUUUUAUCACAGUUCACUGCGUUUCUGGGAUAAUAAAAUGAGAAAUACUGAAUUUUAAAGAA
Long non-coding RNA from Suricata suricatta (meerkat), 639 nucleotides. RefSeq lists it as uncharacterized. The record is from RefSeq and is a predicted model, not a curated record. NCBI's taxonomy places the organism in Eukaryota, Metazoa, Chordata, Mammalia, Carnivora, Herpestidae. The transcript is spliced from 2 exons.